RNAcentral lists this ribosomal RNA (471 nucleotides) under uncultured bacterium. Its description in RNAcentral is "bacterial SSU rRNA". It matches the Rfam family "Bacterial small subunit ribosomal RNA", at positions 154 to 624 of the family's 1533-position model. The record is from RNAcentral.
AAAGAAAGAUUAAUACCCGAUGGCAUAGUUCUUCCGCAUGGUAGAACUAUUAAAGAAUUUCGGUCAUCGAUGGGGAUGCGUUCCAUUAGGUUGUUGGCGGGGUAACGGCCCACCAAGCCUUCGAUGGAUAGGGGUUCUGAGAGGAAGGUCCCCCACAUUGGAACUGAGACACGGUCCAAACUCCUACGGGAGGCAGCAGUGAGGAAUAUUGGUCAAUGGACGAGAGUCUGAACCAGCCAAGUAGCGUGAAGGAUGACUGCCCUAUGGGUUGUAAACUUCUUUUAUACGGGAAUAAAGUGAGGCACGUGUGCCUUUUUGUAUGUACCGUAUGAAUAAGGAUCGGCUAACUCCGUGCCAGCAGCCGCGGUAAUACGGAGGAUCCGAGCGUUAUCCGGAUUUAUUGGGUUUAAAGGGAGCGUAGGCGGACGCUUAAGUCAGUUGUGAAAGUUUGCGGCUCAACCGUAAAAUUGC